AGUAAUGAAGUCGUCGGCCAAGGAUGACAGCUGAGCACUGCUGUCACUUAUUUACCUGUAGAAAUCACUAGUAUAUAUGGAAUGAUAGUGUUGGCUGGAUGAGUGGCGAUGUCAGCAGCUAAUGAUGGGAGAAACAUGGAACAGCAGCAGCACCGGCGAGCGUCAUCAAUGUGGAAAUCUUUCUCGUACUGUAUCCCAAGAAAUAUUCGUCGUGCCUCCCAAGCGCCCUUCUUCUGCCUCUGCUGCCUCAUCUGCAAAGAGGCCUCAUGUGUCUGUGACCUUGGACAGUAAAUUGGAUAUUGUAAAGCUGCAUGAGAAAGUGUACCAGCUGCAACAGGAUGCUCCAAAGCCAGCUGCGGUCUUAUGCACUGACCGACCACCUGACAGUCCCAGUUUCUAUGGCCUGGAGUAUCAUGGCAGCAUCAGACGGCACCAGUGUCCAGACCUGCUCACGCUUGAAGGGUCGUACCUUGUACGGCACAGUGAGAAUACAGAAGGAUUUUACACACUGAGUAUGCGGUUUAACGGUCAAAUUAAACACUUUCGAUUAUACUUCGACGGCAAAAAACAUUAUGUUGGCGAGAAACGAUUUGACACCCUACAUGAUCUAGUAGCUGAUGGACUCGUUACAUUCUAUAUAGAGCUGAACGCUGGAGAACACCUCAAAGACAUUUCAUCCGGUUCUUACGUCAACUCUCCGUAUUACACCCUGACGAGGUCCAUCCGGAAACACAUGCAGAUCAACAAACUCACAGGAAACAAAGAGAAUAAUGAACCAACUAACGAAACGGAUGCUUCAAAAUUUUAUGUGUCAAUUCCUGUGGAUGUAGUACCUGUGGAAACUGCUGACUCGCCAGAUGCCACUACACAGCGUCCACAUCGAUUCCAAACCAGUACAUUCACUGGACUCCAUUGGUGUGGAUUCUGUGGUCACUUCCUGUGGGGUUUUGUGUCUCAGGGCGUCAGAUGUCGAGACUGUAGUUUCAAGGCCCAUAAGCAGUGCAGUUGUAAAGUUCCCAAUGAUUGCAACCCUGACCUGAAAGAUGUGCAAAGUAUAUUUGGUGCUGAUCUCACAACAAGUUUGGAGAUGACAGGAGGAACUACUAGUCAGGUUCCAGCAGUAGUAAAAGAGUGCAUAGCAGAGAUAGAGGCUCGUGGCCUCGCAGCUGAAGGGAUAUACAGGGUUCCUGGCUCACAAGACCAAAUAGAAGCUCUGAAGUUGGCUUUUGAAAGAGAUGGCAACCGAGUGAACCUGGAUGAAAAAGCAGUUGGGGACAUAAAUGUGGUUGCUGGAGUGUUGAAACUGUACCUGAGGCAAUUGCCAUUACCACUCAUCACCGCUAAUUGCUUCAGCAAACUUAAGGCAGCUUGUAAAUUAAGUGAUCGUGAAGCCCGUGUGUCAAGUAUUCAAGAUGCGCUCAAGUCCCUUCCUGAUGCACACUAUGCAACACUUGAAGUUAUUAUCUAUCAUCUUAGCAGGGUUUGUGAUCACUGUGCAGUCAAUAAGAUGUCUGCCACCAGCCUGAGUACAGUCUUUGCACCCACACUUGUUGAGACUGAUGUGGGUGAUGACAUUCAACCAGCAGAUUUACUUGCUUUGGCGAAUACAGCUCAAGAGCCUAGAGUUGUGGAAGUGCUCAUUGUGUGUCACCGAGAAAUUUUUCCCUAACACAAUUGUAAUGAUUGUGCAAAUUGAUGGGAACUCAGGACAGACAAUGGUCGAGCCACAAGAGAAAAUAAACCAGUAAACUUCAACCAGUGGACUGAUACAGGAUGAUGAGGAAGAGUUGAUAGACGCUGUAGGAGUAUGUGACUGACCACUCAUCUCAGGGUGAAACAGUGCAAUCACAAGAAUACCAAAGACGAAAUAUUUACCUUCUUGGCGCUGACUGGACAUGGACGAGAAUCUUAACCCUGAUUGGACGAGGCUGAGAACAUCUUGACGUUAAUUGGACCAAAUCGAGAGUACACUAAUGCUGAUUGGAUGAGAGGCUCCAGGGUCCCUCAACCCACUGGACGCAAGGCUCCUGGUCACAAGGCUCCUCCUCGGGGGGUCGUGUGGCGGAGGGGCAGCGCUCGCCCUCAGGACACUGGACUGGUCGCACCCGCUCCCCGAGGU
This 2119-nucleotide unclassified non-coding RNA is filed under the name Homarus americanus (American lobster). RNAcentral's name for it is "n-chimaerin-like, transcript variant X4". Lineage: Eukaryota; Metazoa; Arthropoda; Malacostraca; Decapoda; Nephropidae. The record is from RNAcentral.